ACGUAGGCAGCGAGCGUUGUUCGGAGUUACUGGGCGUAAAGGGUGUGUAGGCGGUUGUCUAAGUUUGGUGUGAAAUCUCCCGGCUCAACUGGGAGGGUGCGCCGAAUACUGAAUGACUUAGAGUGCGGGAGAGGAAAGUGGAAUUCCUGGUGUAGCGGUGAAAUGCGUAGAUAUCAGGAGGAACACCGGUGGUGUAGACGGCUUUCUGGACCGUAACUGACGCUGAGACACGAAAGCGUGGGUAGCAAACAGGAUUAGAUACCCUGGUAGUCCACGCCCUAAACGAUGCAUAUUUGGUGUGGGCAGUUCAUUCUGUCCGUGCCGGAGCUAACGCGUUAAAUAUGCCGCCUGGGGAGUACAGUCGCAAGGCUG
This 372-nucleotide ribosomal RNA is filed under the name uncultured bacterium. Its description in RNAcentral is "bacterial SSU rRNA". It matches the Rfam family "Bacterial small subunit ribosomal RNA", at positions 525 to 896 of the family's 1533-position model. The record is from RNAcentral.